This 473-nucleotide ribosomal RNA is filed under the name uncultured bacterium. RNAcentral describes it as "bacterial SSU rRNA". It matches the Rfam family "Bacterial small subunit ribosomal RNA", at positions 28 to 511 of the family's 1533-position model. The record is from RNAcentral.
GACGAACGCUGGCGGCGUGCCUAACACAUGCAAGUCGAACGGAGUUGUUCCUUCGGGGACAACUUAGUGGCGAACGGGUGAGUAACGCGUGAGGAACCUGCCUUUCAGUGGGGGACAACAGUUGGAAACGACUGCUAAUACCGCAUGAUGUAGCGAGGGGGCAUCCCUUUGCUACCAAAGCUUUAUGUGCUGAAAGAUGGUCUCGCGUCUGAUUAGCUAGUUGGUGAGGUAACGGCCCACCAAGGCGACGAUCAGUAGCCGGUCUGAGAGGAUGAACGGCCACAUUGGGACUGAGAUACGGCCCAGACUCCUACGGGAGGCAGCAGUAGGGAAUAUUGGGCAAUGGGGGAAACCCUGACCCAGCAACGCCGCGUGAAGGAAGAAGGGCCUUCGGGUUGGUAAACUUCUUUACCUAGGGACGAACACAAUGACGGUACCUGGAGAAAAAGACAACGGACUAAACUAACCGUUAG